Molecule: ribosomal RNA, 253 nt
Filed under: uncultured bacterium
Lineage: Bacteria
Also listed under: 1 other name
Description: partial 16S ribosomal RNA
Rfam family: Bacterial small subunit ribosomal RNA
Source: RNAcentral
UACGAAGGGUGCAAGCGUUGUUCGGAAUCAUUGGGCGUAAAGCGCGCGCAGGCGGGUCAGUAAGUCAGGUGUGAAAUCUCGGAGCUCAACUCCGAAACUGCGCCUGAAACUAUUGGUCUAGAGUAUCGGAGGGGACAGGGGAAUUUCACGUGUAGGGGUAAAAUCCGUAGAGAUGUGAAGGAACACCGGAGGCGAAGGCGCCUGUCUGGACGAUUACUGACGCUGAGGCGCGAAAGCGUGGGGAGCAAACAGG